GCGCCCGUAGCUCAGUCGGACAGAGCACCGGUUUCCUAAACCGGCGGUCGCAGGUUCGAAUCCUGCCGGGCGCA
RNAcentral lists this transfer RNA (74 nucleotides) under Planctomycetota bacterium. Its description in RNAcentral is "Planctomycetes bacterium tRNA-Arg". It matches the Rfam family "tRNA". From Rfam's summary of the family: Transfer RNA (tRNA) molecules are approximately 80 nucleotides in length. Their secondary structure includes four short double-helical elements and three loops (D, anti-codon, and T loops). The record is from RNAcentral. Lineage: Bacteria; Pseudomonadati; Planctomycetota.